GGAAUAUUGCGCAAUGGGCGAAAGCCUGACGCAGCGACGCCGCGUGGGUGAUGAAGGCCUUCGGGUCGUAAAGCCCUGUCGGGAGGGACGAAACCUUAUCGACCUAAUCCGUCGCUGACUUGACGGUACCUCCUCAGGAAGCACCGGCUCACUCCGCGCCAGCAGCCGCGGUAAGACGGAGGGUGCAAGCGUUGUUCGGAAUCACUGGGCGUAAAGCGCGUGUAGGCGGUCUCUUAAGUCCGGUGUGAAAGCCCGGGGCUCACCCCCGGAAGUGCACCGGAUACUGGGAGGCUGGAGUACCGGAGAGGAGGGUGGAAUUCCUGGUGUAGCGGUGAAAUGCGUAGAUAUCAGGAGGAACACCGGUGGCGAAGGCGGCCCUCUGGACGGAUACUGACGCUGAGACGCGAAAGCUAGGGGAGCGAAC
RNAcentral lists this ribosomal RNA (424 nucleotides) under uncultured bacterium. RNAcentral describes it as "bacterial SSU rRNA". It matches the Rfam family "Bacterial small subunit ribosomal RNA", at positions 358 to 773 of the family's 1533-position model. The record is from RNAcentral.